Molecule: long non-coding RNA, 1212 nt
Organism: Capsicum annuum
Lineage: Eukaryota; Viridiplantae; Streptophyta; Magnoliopsida; Solanales; Solanaceae
Exons: 2
Source: RefSeq, a predicted model, not a curated record
CUUUAAUCGAAGGCAUACCAGUUGCGGCUAAAUGCCUCCUUUGUAGGCUCAAAAGUUUAGCUAAACGGAGGAAUUCUAGCUGAACGAAGCUGUUAUCACUGCAGAUUUGCACUGGGAAGUCUCACUAUGGGAGAUAAAGCGAGCUUCAUACCAAAGACUCCAUACCCAGGGCUUGAACUCGAUACCUCACUUACCGCUCCACCACAUCUUUGGUGGUAUGUCAUUGGCUAUUAAUUUCAUUAUUUUUCAAAUAAUCAAAAUAAAGUAAAAUUAACCAAUCUUUCUUCCAAAUCCACUCACUCAUGAUUUUUCCAUUAACGAAGACAUGAGGGAUCCAUGAAUAUUAUUAUUUAACUCAAGUAAUUUGGAUUUUUAUAUAAUUUAAAACCUUAUGUAUAAGAAUAAUUUGUGAAAGUUUUAUAAAUAUUGAACAAAAACAAAGCAUAACACGAUUCAUUUAGUUCAUUUCCUCUAGCUCAGCAUAACCUGAAUAUUGGAGUUCGAUUAAUUUAAAUUUGUGCAUUACAAAGGCUUUUUUUGCACGCUCAAGGCUCAAACUCAAAACAUCUGAUUAACAGUAGAGGAAUUUCAACCAUCUUACGACAACUCAAGUUGAUCCAACCUGUACAUUAGAUAGAGAGCGGUGUAAUAAUAGAAAUAGUAUUAUCUUCAAUUCAUGUGUAAAUGUUUUUUCAACAAAUAUUUUUAAUUACUAAAAGAGAAAAUAUUAGUGUAAAGAUUAAAAUAUGUCAACCGUACAUUUGUUUUUGUCUUGUCGUAACAAUCCAAACCUAGGAUGUAUAUAACACACCGAAAUGGAAUUUGCCUAGCGUGUUAUAUACAUCCUAGGCCCUCAGCGACUUAGCGUCCUCCCUGAAAUAAGUGGGAUGAGCCUAACCGUACUUGAACUCCAAGGUUUGCCCCACUUGUGUGGGGGUAAUAUCAGCUUAGAGACAUGUGGCAUCAACAACAAGACCAGCAUGAAGCGUCGGCGCAACGAGGAGCGUUGAACCUCGAAAGGCCUCAUCUGAGAUGACCAUGAUAGAGGUGACAACUCGUAUGGGUCUGGGAUAAGGGUCGGGUUUAUCAGGUGUGCAGAUAAGCUCAUACGGAUCUGACCUGUAUAGGAAUAUUAGUUGGCGCCUUCUAACGGAUUAGACGCUAGAUUCGUUCUCUUACCUAACUUUGUUUAUCGACGUUCUAUUUCAUUUA